This 700-nucleotide ribosomal RNA is filed under the name Actinomycetes bacterium. Its description in RNAcentral is "bacterial SSU rRNA". It matches the Rfam family "Bacterial small subunit ribosomal RNA", at positions 105 to 817 of the family's 1533-position model. Lineage: Bacteria; Bacillati; Actinomycetota; Actinomycetes. The record is from RNAcentral.
GGUGAGUAAUACGUGAGUAACCUGCCCUUGACUCUGGGAUAAGCCCGGGAAACUGGGUCUAAUACUGGAUGCUACAUGUCACCGCAUGGUGGUGUGUGGAAAGGGUUUACUGGUCUUGGAUGGGCUCACGGCCUAUCAGCUUGUUGGUGAGGUAAUGGCUCACCAAGGCGACGACGGGUAGCCGGCCUGAGAGGGUGACCGGCCACACUGGGACUGAGACACGGCCCAGACUCCUACGGGAGGCAGCAGUGGGGAAUAUUGCACAAUGGGCGAAAGCCUGAUGCAGCGACGCCGCGUGAGGGAUGACGGCCUUCGGGUUGUAAACCUCUUUCAGCAGGGAAGAAGCCACAAGUGACGGUACCUGCAGAAGAAGCGCCGGCUAACUACGUGCCAGCAGCCGCGGUAAUACGUAGGGCGCAAGCGUUGUCCGGAAUUAUUGGGCGUAAAGAGCUCGUAGGCGGUUUGUCGCGUCUGCUGUGAAAGCCCGGGGCUUAACCCCGGGUGUGCAGUGGGUACGGGCAGACUAGAGUGCAGUAGGGGAGACUGGAAUUCCUGGUGUAGCGGUGGAAUGCGCAGAUAUCAGGAGGAACACCGAUGGCGAAGGCAGGUCUCUGGGCUGUUACUGACGCUGAGGAGCGAAAGCAUGGGGAGCGAACAGGAUUAGAUACCCUGGUAGUCCAUGCCGUAAACGUUGGGCACU